Molecule: small RNA, 558 nt
Filed under: Pongo abelii (Sumatran orangutan)
Lineage: Eukaryota; Metazoa; Chordata; Mammalia; Primates; Hominidae
Description: processed transcript
Source: RNAcentral
GUAAACACUUCGCCCCUGCAGGGGUGGAGACUGGCUGUGUUCGGAUGCCGGGGGGGAGAGGUGCAAUCCUCUCCUCGAGGCUGGUGGUUGCGACCACCCCCACUCCCCAAAGGCAGGCUCCAGAGGCGGCGGGACAGAGCUCCUGCGACCCCAGUCGGUGCUCCGGGGAGCUCACCUGCCGAGGAGGACUGGGAGGUGCUGGUCCUAGGGAAGCUCAAGUGGGACCUGGCUGCUGUGAUUGCACAUGAUUUCCUGGCCCUCAUUCUGCACCGGCUCUCUCUGCCCCGUGACCGACAGGCCUUGGUCAAAAAGCACGCCCAGACCUUUUUGGCCCUCUGUGCUACAGAUUAUACCUUUGCCAUGUACCCGCCAUCCAUGAUCGCCACGGGCAGCAUUGGAGCUGCAGUGCAAGGCCUGGGUGCCUGCUCCAUGUCCGGGGAUGAGCUCACAGAGCUGCUGGCAGGGAUCACUGGCACUGAAGUGGUGAGUGCUGGGCAGCUGGGCAGCAGCCUCUCCAUUCAUAAAGUAGUGCUAUGCCCUGAGCCUCCAGUAGAGGGA